This is a long non-coding RNA of Lingula anatina, 229 nucleotides long. NCBI's taxonomy places the organism in Eukaryota, Metazoa, Brachiopoda, Lingulata, Lingulida, Lingulidae. The record is from RefSeq and is a predicted model, not a curated record.
AAAUUUUAGAACAAGUGGAAUAUACACAGCCAGAGACAGGAAGGUGAUAUGGAGUUUGGCCUACUUCAAGGAGGUCCAUGCCCAACAUUCCUUGAUUGUCUUCUAAGCAGAGGAGGAAAUUACAUGUGGAGAAUUCUUAAGAUAUUCAAGAGAGGCUACAGCUGGCAGAAGAAAAGGGAUUAGCAUUAUCAAAUGUUAUGGCCUUCUUCACUGAACUGAUGGACAUUCA